GCAGAUUUGAAUACAAAUAUUGACAUUGAUUGGAAAGAUGGAUUAAUAUUUAACUAUUGACAUUGAAUGGAAUAAUAGACUAGGACUAUUAAAUUUGCUAAAACUUUUGAAAGUUUACACUGAUCCCCCCAUUUAUGGAAUAAUAAACUAAUGCUCAACCUUUUAAUUACUCUGUUUGCUUGCCAAAUUUUUUCAAGUCUUCACCAUCCCAUUUCAUUUACCGUUAUAAAUUCUCUGGUAUUUUUGAAUGUUUUUGAGGAAUCCUUAUGAAGGAAAGAUUGACUGAAGGGUACAAUUUCUAAUUGAAUUGAAGGUCUGUUUUUCAUUAAAAAGGCUAGAUUUCAGGAUCAUCUACCAGGCAUGGACUGAAUCCAGAUUUUGUGGAUCUAGAAGGUCAACUCACUCAUGAGGCACCAUGGGAAGAUGAGAAAGAUCUUGAGACUGGUCUUGUAUGUCUAGUUUAGAGGACUCCCUCAGUUUCGACAAGCUGCCUAGCAUGGGCACUCUUGACAGGAGGUUUUAAUUCUUUGGCUGGAUGAAAACUACAUCUGCUACAAGAUGGUGGUUGAUGAAUUGGAGGAGCUUAUAUUAGGAGGAUGUAGACUCUGCAGGACUGUCCUUGUUCUGCCAUUAUGUUGCUUCUAUGCAACAGCAAGACUGGUGCAGGCAUAGAAGAGCAACAGUGACUUCUCAAGGUAAUUUUCUCAACAUGAAUAUUCACAGAAGGAAGAAUGGUGAUUGCUUGAUGUAUAAUGUACUGCUAAAGUUACCAGACUGUAAUCAAAGUCUUUGCUUUUAUAUUUUCUUAUUCUGAUUGCACCAACCUUGGAAAAUUGGGUCCUGCCUUAUGCUGCAGUUUUAAUUCAUGUUUUUGUACAUGUAUCUGUGUUUGCUAUGCAUAUUUGUAUUAGAUACAAGUAACAACAACAAAGUUAACUUUAAAGUGGAUUUGCAGCAACAACAAUAGUAACAACAACAAAGUUAACUUUAAAAUGUACACAAAAACAAUGAAGGGAAUGAAGACGAGAUAAAAAGAUCUUUAAGACAAAGGGGAAGCUAACAUGAAUCGACUUUAUAAUUUUAGCAUUUUAAAAUGACUAAGAGGCAUGGUGAUAAAAAAAAUGUUUAGGGAUUUUGUAAAUAUACUAUAUAUUAUCUUUCUAAGGUAAGUAUUUCUAUAAAAAUGUUUAGGGAUUUUAUAAAAAUGCUAUUACAUUGUAAAAGUAAAUUGAGGAGAAGAAAUCGAGUCUUUCUUAGAAAAAAUUAUUAUUAGAGUGUAUUUAAUUUGAUGGAAAUCCAAAAUCAUGUACGAAAUUACUCUCUAUAAGUCGUAAAUGUUGGGUUAGGAUUUGGCAAAAAAAAACAGUGAAGAGGAGAGAAAAGGAAAGAGUGAAGCAAAGGAGACAAUAUUAGGUAAGGAAGAUACGGAAAAUAUACUUAUAAGAGAUCUUUUUAAGGUAUAAGACUAAGAAAUAAGCAAAAAUGAAAAAGACUUUCUUAGACGCACAUAAACCAUAAAAGAAAAUUAUAUAGAGAGAAAAAGGAUUUGGGAGGGGGGCUUAGUCGGACAAGCCUCAUCAAAAGAAGAAAAAAAAAAGAGGAAUAAAGGAAAAGGUAUAGGAAAGAAAGCUUGAACAACAAGGAGGGAACAAGAGAGAAUGUGUGUAUGGGAAAAGGAAGAGAAAAAGAGAAAGGUAAAGGAAAAAUCAAGAUAUAAUAUAAUAGAGCACUUUAAAUUAGUAGUAAGAAAUAAAGUACUCUUUUAUAAAUUUUUUAUAAAACUCUAAAAAACAUGAAAGGGGAGUGAGAGAGAGGUCGAGGUUAUAAUUAGGGAUAUGCAAGUAUAAUUGAUUAUAAGAUUAGCGAAUUAAAAAAAGGAGAAAGAGAAAUAUAAAUAGCAAGUAAAUAAGAGAAAAAAAAGAGCACUUUUAAAAGACCACAUCAAAAGUGAAAUAGGGUAAAAGAUAAAGAUCACUUAAGAAAUUCUUAUUAAAGAGGGUAAUUAAUGGUGGGAAGAGGGGGCAACAGGUAACAGGCUUACUAAAAUGUUUAGAUUAUAAAAAAGAAAAGAAGAGUAGAUGGGUGGGUGGGUGGGUGGGUGGGUGGAAGAAGGAACACGAAGGUGAGAAAAACCAAGGGAAAGAUAGGAAAAGGGAAACAAGAGUGGGAGAAGGAGAAAUAUAAGAGAGUAUAGACAACAACGAUGAAGGAAGAAGAGAUAAGAAGAAAAGCUAAGAGAGAUAAAGAGCCCUUGGGGUGAGAGAGAAAGGGAGGGGUUGGGAAGAGAGAGUGAGAGUAUUUUCUUUUUCAAAGUGUAAGAAAAUGGUAGUCAGCUGUUACUACAGAUGGCGAACUUAAUAUAAGCAAAACACUUGGUAAGAUACAUCGCGGGGUAAGUUUGGCUGAAAAGUUUAUCAACUUUAUGUAUGCUACUAUUCUAUUGGUCCUACUCUUAGUUGCAUUUUUAGCCCUAAGACUUGUAUUGCUUUCAAAGAUUGAUCAUAUUCUAAAAAUGACAUGGUCAUCUGUAAGUAUUGCAUAUCCUUAAACGAAGGGGGAGAGAGGGAGGAAAGUUGAGUAAUAGAGUGGGGGGAAGGAGGGAGUAUGAAGAAGAGACUUUUAAUCACAAAUUAUGAGUGAGUAGAGGAAAAAAAAAAAGUGACUAUGCAUAGGUUAAGAAAGAUAAAUAGAUAGAGUAUAGUGUUUUAAAUUUUCAAAAAAAAAAAAAAAAAAA
This is a long non-coding RNA of Chenopodium quinoa (quinoa), 2734 nucleotides long. RefSeq lists it as uncharacterized. NCBI's taxonomy places the organism in Eukaryota, Viridiplantae, Streptophyta, Magnoliopsida, Caryophyllales, Amaranthaceae. The transcript is spliced from 5 exons. The record is from RefSeq and is a predicted model, not a curated record.